CCUACGGGGGGCAGCAGUGAGGAAUAUUGGUCAAUGGACGAGAGUCUGAACCAGCCAAGUAGCGUGAAGGAUGACUGCCCUAUGGGUUGUAAACUUCUUUUAUAUGGGAAUAAAAUGUUCCACGUGUGGGUUUUUGUAUGUACCAGAUGAAUAAGGAUCGGCUAACUCCGUGCCAGCAGCCGCGGUAAUACGGAGGAUCCGAGCGUUAUCCGGAUUUAUUGGGUUUAAAGGGAGCGUAGGUGGGUUGUUAAGUCAGUUGUGAAAGUUUGCGGCUCAACCGUAAAAUUGCCGUUGAAACUGGCAGUCUUGAGUACAGUAGAGGUAGGCGGAAUUCGUGGUGUAGCGGUGAAAUGCUUAGAUAUCACGAAGAACUCCGAUUGCGAAGGCAGCUCGCUGGACUGCAACUGACGCUGAGGCUCGAAAGUGUGGGUAUCGAACAGGAUUAGAUACCCUAGUAGUC
RNAcentral lists this ribosomal RNA (460 nucleotides) under uncultured bacterium. RNAcentral describes it as "partial 16S ribosomal RNA". It matches the Rfam family "Bacterial small subunit ribosomal RNA", at positions 338 to 795 of the family's 1533-position model. The record is from RNAcentral.